RNAcentral lists this ribosomal RNA (301 nucleotides) under uncultured bacterium. Its description in RNAcentral is "partial 16S ribosomal RNA". It matches the Rfam family "Bacterial small subunit ribosomal RNA", at positions 509 to 807 of the family's 1533-position model. The record is from RNAcentral.
CAGUAGCCGCGGUAAUACGGAGGGUGCAAGCGUUAAUCGGAAUUACUGGGCGUAAAGCGCACGCAGGCGGUCUGUCAAGUCAGAUGUGAAAUCCCCGGGCUUAACCUGGGAACUGCAUUUGAAACUGGCAGGCUAGAGUCUUGUAGAGGGGGGUAGAAUUCCAGGUGUAGCGGUGAAAUGCGUAGAGAUCUGGAGGAAUACCGGUGGCGAAGGCGGCCCCCUGGACAAAGACUGACGCUCAGGUGCGAAAGCGUGGGGAGCAAACAGGAUUAGAGACCCCGGUAGUCCCUGUCUCUUAUAC